This 520-nucleotide ribosomal RNA is filed under the name uncultured Glomus. RNAcentral describes it as "SSU rRNA". It matches the Rfam family "Eukaryotic small subunit ribosomal RNA", at positions 569 to 1086 of the family's 1831-position model. Lineage: Eukaryota; Fungi; Glomeromycota; Glomeromycetes; Glomerales; Glomeraceae. The record is from RNAcentral.
AGCAGCCGCGGUAAUUCCAGCUCCAAUAGCGUAUAUUAAAGUUGUUGCAGUUAAAAAGCUCGUAGUUGAAUUUCGGGACCAAUUUGAUGGUCGUGCCUCGGUACGUACUGGUAUUAUUGGUUUCUCCCUUCUGAAGAACCAUGAUGCCAUUAAUUUGGUGUCGUGGGGGAAUCAGGACUGUUACUUUGAAAAAAUUAGAGUGUUUAAAGCAGGCAUACGCUUGAAUACAUUAGCAUGGAAUAAUGAAAUAGGACGUUUGAUUCUAUUUUGUUGGUUUCUUAGGAUCGACGUAAUGAUUAAUAGGGAUAGUUGGGGGCGAUUAGUAUUCAAUUGUCAGAGGUGAAAUUCUUGGAUUUAUUGAAGACUAACUACUGCGAAAGCAUUUGCCAAGGAUGUUUUCAUUAAUCAAGAACGAAAGUUAGGGGGAUCGAAGACGAUCAGAUACCGUCGUAGUCUUAACCAUAAACUAUGCCGACUAGGGAUCGGAUGAUGUUAAUUUUUUAAUUGACUCAUUCGGCGC